CGAGUUUCAGCCACUUUCCAUGACGCAAGGUCGGGGUCGUUACGAGUAGGACAAAUAUACACCAAGCCUUUGAAGGAUGAGGUUCCAGUUCGGCUCCUACUUCACGACUAUCUUUCCAGAAAACCAUUCUCUCCCUUCUUUCUCCUUCAAACUUCUUUCUACCAUAACUUUCAUUCUACAACUCCAAUUCUUGUGCCGCUUUCGCCUUUAGGAUCGUAUGAACGAGCUCUACAAGAUAAGUGUGUUUUGGGAGAAUGGUGGUCACUAGGCAGCUCAUUGAAGGUUGAGGAUUACUUUGGAGCUGUUAAGCAGGUGAAGAAUCUACCUUGGGCAGAACCUACAGAGAACUCAGAGUAAUUUUGGGUUGAAGUGGAAGUUGGAUGACAUGAAAGGAGGAUUCAGACCAAAAUUCAGCCUCCAGCCCGAAGUCAAAAUCUGCGUCUGCUAAACUCUGCAGGAAAUGUGGCCACAGUGGCAGAAUCCUACGUAGCAUCUAAAAUUUGGUGCCCCAAUUUUACAUUUUUUGUUACAUUGGAGGGAAUCGAACCAGGGAUUGUCCUAAUUCGAACCCGAGUAAGGAAUAAUCCAAAGCCUCUCAGGCUAAGAUUUUAUAGUAAGGAAUUAUGGAGAUCCUAUUUCCUUGUUUCCACUAUGUUCACUAUAAUGCAAAUUCUGUUAAUAGGGUAACAUGUCAUUAAGUAACAACCCGCGGCUUCAUGAAGUUUUAAGUAUUGGAGCAGAUGAUAGACGAGCAUUGAGCACUACAUAAAACUGAGAAGAAAGGCUAGAAUAGAUGAGCAACGUAAUAGACAACCCACAAAUAAGAGAAAACCGAGUGUCUUUUGAUUCAGAAUUGGAA
Non-coding RNA from Prunus mume (Japanese apricot), 859 nucleotides. The record is from RefSeq and is a predicted model, not a curated record. Lineage: Eukaryota; Viridiplantae; Streptophyta; Magnoliopsida; Rosales; Rosaceae.